AAGGUUUCCAGAGGAAGGCUCGUCCGCUCUGGGUUAGUCGGGUCCUAAGCUGAGGCCGACAGGCGUAAGCGAUGGAUAACAGGUUGAUAUUCCUGUACCACCUAUAAUCGUUUUAAUCGAUGGGGGGACGCAGUAGGAUAGGCGAAGCGUGCGAUUGGAUUGCACGUCUAAGCAGUAAGGCUGAGUAUUAGGCAAAUCCGGUACUCGUUAAGGCUGAGCUGUGAUGGGGAGAAGACAUUGUGUCUUCGAGUCGUUGAUUUCACACUGCCGAGAAAAGCCUCUAGAUAGAAAAUAGGUGCCCGUACCGCAAACCGACACAGGUAGUCAAGAUGAGAAUUCUAAGGUGAGCGAGCGAACUCUCGUUAAGGAACUCGGCAAAAUGACCCCGUAACUUCGGGAGAAGGGGUGCUCUUUAGGGUUAACGCCCAGAAGAGCCGCAGUGAAUAGGCCCAAGCGACUGUUUAUCAAAAACACAGGUCUCUGCUAAACCGUAAGGUGAUGUAUAGGGGCUGACGCCUGCCCGGUGCUGGAAGGUUAAGAGGAGUGGUUAGCUUCUGCGAAGCUACGAAUCGAAGCCCCAGUAAACGGCGGCCGUAACUAUAACGGUCCUAAGGUAGCGAAAUUCCUUGUCGGGUAAGUUCCGACCCGCACGAAAGGCGUAACGAUUUGGGCACUGUCUCAACGAGAGACUCGGUGAAAUCAUAGUACCUGUGAAGAUGCAGGUUACCCGCGACAGGACGGAAAGACCCCGUGGAGCUUUACUGUAGCCUGAUAUUGAAAUUCGGCACAGCUUGUACAGGAUAGGUAGGAGCCUUUGAAACGUGAGCGCUAGCUUACGUGGAGGCGCUGGUGGGAUACUACCCUAGCUGUGUUGGCUUUCUAACCCGCACCACUUAUCGUGGUGGGAGACAGUGUCAGGCGGGCAGUUUGACUGGGGCGGUCGCCUCCUAAAAGGUAACGGAGGCGCUCAAAGGUUCCCUCAGAAUGGUUGGAAAUCAUUCAUAGAGUGUAAAGGCAUAAGGGAGCUUGACUGCGAGACCUACAAGUCGAGCAGGGUCGAAAGACGGACUUAGUGAUCCGGUGGUUCCGCAUGGAAGGGCCAUCGCUCAACGGAUAAAAGCUACCCCGGGGAUAACAGGCUUAUCUCCCCCAAGAGUUCACAUCGACGGGGAGGUUUGGCACCUCGAUGUCGGCUCAUCGCAUCCUGGGGCUGUAGUCGGUCCCAAGGGUUGGGCUGUUCGCCCAUUAAAGCGGUACGCGAGCUGGGUUCAGAACGUCGUGAGACAGUUCGGUCCCUAUCCGUCGUGGGCGUAGGAAAUUUGAGAGGAGCUGUCCUUAGUACGAGAGGACCGGGAUGGACAUACCUCUGGUGUACCAGUUGUCGUGCCAACGGCAUA
RNAcentral lists this ribosomal RNA (1397 nucleotides) under Staphylococcus aureus. Its description in RNAcentral is "partial 23S ribosomal RNA". It matches the Rfam family "Bacterial large subunit ribosomal RNA", at positions 1347 to 2739 of the family's 2925-position model. The record is from RNAcentral. Lineage: Bacteria; Bacillati; Bacillota; Bacilli; Caryophanales; Staphylococcaceae.